UAAUCCCUGCUGUGUACGUAUAAUGCCGAUCAAGUUUUGAGCCAACACAUUAACAAGGGGAACCGGACUCUGGUUGUGGCGUGUAUGCCCUUGACCGGGACACAUAAGACAAUCAGGAGGCUCCCACCUGCCUGGGGCAGGUUCAAAACAGCGGCGAUACGGCACGGUGGGGUUUUU
RNAcentral lists this non-coding RNA (177 nucleotides) under Acidobacteriota bacterium. Its description in RNAcentral is "Acidobacteria bacterium (hot springs metagenome) 6S RNA". It matches the Rfam family "6S / SsrS RNA". From Rfam's summary of the family: E. coli 6S RNA was the first non coding RNA to be sequenced, but its function was unknown until recently. It consists of 184 nucleotides that fold into an extended hairpin structure with a large single-stranded internal bulge. The 6S RNA specifically associates with RNA polymerase holoenzyme containing the sigma70 specificity factor. The record is from RNAcentral. Lineage: Bacteria; Pseudomonadati; Acidobacteriota.